ACUACGGGAGGCUGCAGUGGGGAAUAUUGGACAAUGGGCGAAAGCCUGAUCCAGCCAUGCCGCGUGUGUGAAGAAGGCCUUCGGGUUGUAAAGCACUUUCAGUGGGGAAGAAAGCCUUGGGGCUAAUACCCUCGAGGAAGGACAUCACCCACAGAAGAAGCACCGGCUAACUCCGUGCCAGCAGCCGCGGUAAUACGGAGGGUGCGAGCGUUAAUCGGAAUUACUGGGCGUAAAGCGCGCGUAGGCGGUCUGAUAAGCCGGUUGUGAAAGCCCCGGGCUCAACCUGGGAACGGCAUCCGGAACUGUCAGGCUAGAGUGCAGGAGAGGAAGGUAGAAUUCCCGGUGUAGCGGUGAAAUGCGUAGAGAUCGGGAGGAAUACCAGUGGCGAAGGCGGCCUUCUGGACUGACACUGACGCUGAGGUGCGAAAGCGUGGGUAGCAAACAGGAUUACAUACCCUAGUAGUC
RNAcentral lists this ribosomal RNA (465 nucleotides) under Vreelandella stevensii. Its description in RNAcentral is "partial 16S ribosomal RNA". It matches the Rfam family "Bacterial small subunit ribosomal RNA", at positions 338 to 795 of the family's 1533-position model. Lineage: Bacteria; Pseudomonadati; Pseudomonadota; Gammaproteobacteria; Oceanospirillales; Halomonadaceae. The record is from RNAcentral.